GAUGAACGCUGGCGGCGUGCCUAAUACAUGCCAGUAGAACGCUGAAGCUUGGUGCUUGCACCGAGCGGAUGAGUUGCGAACGGGUGAGUAACGCGUAGGUAACCUGCCUCUUAGCGGGGGAUAACUAUUGGAAACGAUAGCUAAUACCGCAUAAAAGUCGAUAUCGCAUGAUAUUGAUUUGAAAGGUGCAAAUGCAUCACUAAGAGAUGGACCUGCGUUGUAUUAGCUAGUUGGUGAGGUAACGGCUCACCAAGGCGACGAUACAUAGCCGACCUGAGAGGGUGAUCGGCCACACUGGGACUGAGACACGGCCCAGACUCCUACGGGAGGCAGCAGUAGGGAAUCUUCGGCAAUGGGGGCAACCCUGACCGAGCAACGCCGCGUGAGUGAAGAAGGUUUUCGGAUCGUAAAGCUCUGUUGUAAGAGAAGAACGAGUGUGAGAGUGGAAAGUUCACACUGCGACGGUAACUUACCAGAAAGGGACGGCUAACUACGUG
RNAcentral lists this ribosomal RNA (497 nucleotides) under uncultured bacterium. RNAcentral's name for it is "partial 16S ribosomal RNA". It matches the Rfam family "Bacterial small subunit ribosomal RNA", at positions 28 to 507 of the family's 1533-position model. The record is from RNAcentral.